GAGUUUGACAUGGCUCAGGACGAACGCUGGCGGCGCGCUUAACACAUGCAAGUCGAGCGAGAACCCAGGCUUCGGCCUGGGUGAAAGCGGCGAACGGGUGAGUAACACGUGAGUAAUCUGCCCUCGACAUCGGGAUAGCCCGGGGAAACCCGGAUUAAUACCGAAUGGCCCAACAGCUUUUCGGAGCGGUUGGAAAAGGUAGCUUCGGCCUCCGGUCGAGGAGGAGCUCGCGGCGGAUUAGCUUGUUGGUGAGGUAACGGCUCACCAAGGCUUCGAUCCGUAGCUGGUCUGAGAGGACGAUCAGCCACACUGGGACUGAGACACGGCCCAGACUCCUACGGAGGCAGCAGUGGGGAAUCUUGCGCAAUGGGCGAAAGCCUGACGCAGCGACGCCGCGUGAGGGAAGAAGG
This 410-nucleotide ribosomal RNA is filed under the name uncultured bacterium. RNAcentral describes it as "bacterial SSU rRNA". It matches the Rfam family "Bacterial small subunit ribosomal RNA", at positions 9 to 414 of the family's 1533-position model. The record is from RNAcentral.